AGUGAACGCUGGCGGUAGGCCUAACACAUGCAAGUCGAACGGCAGCACAGUAAGAGCUUGCUCUUACGGGUGGCGAGUGGCGGACGGGUGAGGAAUACAUCGGAAUCUACUUUUUCGUGGGGGAUAACGUAGGGAAACUUACGCUAAUACCGCAUACGACCUACGGGUGAAAGCAGGGGAUCUUCGGACCUUGCGCGAUUGAAUGAGCCGAUGUCGGAUUAGCUAGUUGGCGGGGUAAAGGCCCACCAAGGCGACGAUCCGUAGCUGGUCUGAGAGGAUGAUCAGCGACACUGGAACUGAGACAGCGUCCAGACUCCUAAGGGAGGCAGCAGUGGGGAAUAUUGGACAAUGGGCGCAAGCCUGAUCCAGCCAUACCGCGUGGGUGAAGAAGGCCUUCGGGUUGUAAAGCCCUUUUGUUGGGAAAGAAAAGCAGCAGGUUAAUACCCCGCUGUUCUGACGGUACCCAAAGAAUAAGCACCGGCUAACUUCGUG
This 492-nucleotide ribosomal RNA is filed under the name uncultured bacterium. RNAcentral's name for it is "partial 16S ribosomal RNA". It matches the Rfam family "Bacterial small subunit ribosomal RNA", at positions 29 to 507 of the family's 1533-position model. The record is from RNAcentral.